Molecule: ribosomal RNA, 253 nt
Filed under: uncultured bacterium
Lineage: Bacteria
Description: partial 16S ribosomal RNA
Rfam family: Bacterial small subunit ribosomal RNA
Source: RNAcentral
GACGAACCGUGCGAACGUUGGUCGGAAUCACUGGGCUUAAAGGGCGCGUAGGCGGGUUCCCAAGUCCGGGGUGAAAUCUUUCGGCUCAACCGGAAAAUAGCCUUGGAUACUGGGAGUCUCGAGGGAGGUAGGGGCAGCGGGAACUUCCGGUGGAGCGGUGAAAUGCGUUGAUAUCGGAAGGAACGCCGGUGGCGAAAGCGCGCUGCUGGACCUCUGCUGACGCUGAGGCGCGAAAGCCAGGGGAGCAAACGGG